UGUAUAGGGGCUGACGCCUGCCCGGUGCUGGAAGGUUAAGAGGAGUGGUUAGCUUCUGCGAAGCUACGAAUCGAAGCCCCAGUAAACGGCGGCCGUAACUAUAACGGUCCUAAGGUAGCGAAAUUCCUUGUCGGGUAAGUUCCGACCCGCACGAAAGGCGUAACGAUUUGGGCACUGUCUCAACGAGAGACUCGGUGAAAUCAUAGUACCUGUGAAGAUGCAGGUUACCCGCGACAGGACGGAAAGACCCCGUGGAGCUUUACUGUAGCCUGAUAUUGAAAUUCGGCACAGCUUGUACAGGAUAGGUAGGAGCCUUUGAAACGUGAGCGCUAGCUUACGUGGAGGCGCUGGUGGGAUACUACCCUAGCUGUGUUGGCUUUCUAACCCGCACCACUUA
RNAcentral lists this ribosomal RNA (397 nucleotides) under Staphylococcus aureus. RNAcentral describes it as "partial 23S ribosomal RNA". It matches the Rfam family "Bacterial large subunit ribosomal RNA", at positions 1842 to 2238 of the family's 2925-position model. The record is from RNAcentral. Lineage: Bacteria; Bacillati; Bacillota; Bacilli; Caryophanales; Staphylococcaceae.